ACGCCGCGUGAGGGAUGAAGGCCUCUGGGCUGUAACCUCUUUUCUCAAGGAAGAAGAUCUGACGGUACUUGAGGAAUAAGCCACGGCUAAUUCCGUGCAGCAGCCGCGGUAAUACGGGAGUGGCAAGCGUUAUCCGGAAUUAUUGGGCGUAAAGCGUCCGCAGGCGGUCUUGAAAGUCUGUUGUUAAAGCGUGGAGCUUAACUCCAUUUGAGCAAUGGAAACUGCAAGACUAGAGUGUGGUAGGGGCAGAGGGAAUUCCCGGUGUAGCGGUGAAAUGCGUAGAUAUCGGGAAGAACACCAGUGGCGAAGGCGCUCUGCUGGGCCAUAACUGACGCUCAUGGACGAAAGCCAGGGGAGCGAAAGGGAUUAGAUACCCCUGUAGUCCUGGCCGUAAGCGAUGAACACUAGGUGUCGGGGGAAUCGACCCCCUCGGUGUCGUAGCCAACGCGUUAAGUGUUCCGCCUGGGGAGUACGCACGCAAGUGUGAAACUCAAAGGAAUUGACGGGGGCCCGCACAAGCGGUGGAGUAUGUGGUUUAAUUCGAUGCAACGCGAAGAACUUUACAGGGUUUGAAAUCCUGCGAACCCCUUAGACAUCGGGGGGUGCUUCG
RNAcentral lists this ribosomal RNA (610 nucleotides) under uncultured bacterium. Its description in RNAcentral is "bacterial SSU rRNA". It matches the Rfam family "Bacterial small subunit ribosomal RNA", at positions 394 to 1021 of the family's 1533-position model. The record is from RNAcentral.